GACACCCAGAGAGGAGCACACGCAAUACAAGUCAGACUUUUAAUUUUUUCCUUUUUUAAUGCAUGGUUUUCCUGAAUUCCAGGACUAUGAAGGUUUUGAAACAGCACUUCACAAAGGCAGGGACUCUGGAAAAUUCUGAGGGAGUUUCAGAGCAGAUGAACUUCUGUCUGCUUCUCCCUAGGUCCCCGACCUAUCUGUUCUUGUCCCAGCCUAGUUAGAAAGGAAAACUCUCCCUUGAUUUUCCCUAAACGGGUGGAAUAAAGGAAAACUAAAGCUGUUACUACCAGUCUUUUCUGGGAGAUGAAAAUCCAAUCUCAAGGAUGUUUCUUCCUGGACCAAAGCUGUGAUGGGUGAAGAAAAAUGAUAGAAUGAAAAGCUCUUGUGUUAUGUAUUUGCCAGAGAUGUGUGUUACUUGCGCCUACAUCAUCAUUAAGGUAUUUGAAAAGCAGCGUGCACUACAAGAAGCGUGAGCGUGGAUGCUCAAACAGACCUAGGGAUGAUAGUCUACUUGGGAAUGAUGGCGGGGGCCUUCAUCCUGGGAGGCCUGGCUGAUAAGCUGGGAAGGAAGCGAGUCCUCAGCAUGUCUCUGGCCGUCAAUGCCU
RNAcentral lists this small RNA (602 nucleotides) under Pongo abelii (Sumatran orangutan). Its description in RNAcentral is "processed transcript". The record is from RNAcentral. Lineage: Eukaryota; Metazoa; Chordata; Mammalia; Primates; Hominidae.